RNAcentral lists this long non-coding RNA (3310 nucleotides) under Panax ginseng (ginseng). RNAcentral's name for it is "long non-coding RNA (PGIN_LNC007051)". The record is from RNAcentral. Lineage: Eukaryota; Viridiplantae; Streptophyta; Magnoliopsida; Apiales; Araliaceae.
UUAAUAAUAAAUUGUACUUGUAUACUUUCUUUUGGCUAUAAUCUCUUCACCUAUAAUUUUGCUAAAAUGAUAUAAAAGUUAGUUUUAAAAACCGUCAGUUUGACUCUAAAAAAUCAAAACUGGAUAUUUAAUUUGGGAUGGAGGGAGUGUGAUUUAACUGUCUUACAAAAAAAUAUAUAAAGCGAACAAAAGUCACAGAUAUGGUACUAAUGCAAAUCUCCAUCUUCAUAAAUAAGUAUAUUUGAAUAUAUUAUCACAUCUUUUUAGCAGAACUGGAUAACAUAAUGUUUAAUCAUAUCCUCAAAUCAAAUUAUUUAAUUGCAUAAUGAACAGAUUUAAUUCAUUUUCCUGUUACCACUAAGUGACAACGAUAAAUUAAAUUGCAUGUACUAGACAACAAUAUGACAUUGACAUAUCUACUGUUUCUUUGAGAUUUUCAGCCGUGGGCGAAAUUUUGUCGGGCUUCUCCUUGCCAAGAACCUACUAAGCAAAAUAAGCAAAAUCAAACACAAAAAAUAAGUAAAAUCAGUCACUAUUUCUUUUUACUUUAUUUUUAUAAGUAACCCAUAGUCACUUUUAAUCAAAAAUACUAACACAAUCUAAGAAAACACAGAAACACACCAUAGCAACAAAUGAAAACAUCCCAAAUCUGUAGUUGUUCCAAGUAUGAAGUCAGCUAUUAAUAAAUGUGUAAAAUGUUAAUAAAGAAAUCCACAUAAACUUAAUAAGCCUAAUCUAGAACACCCUGAACCAUAAAUCAGGAAAAAUAAACUAAGAAGCUAAAUGAAACCAAGAAGAAAGAAGAAGAAUAACCUACUUUAAUGUGUCAGAGUAAAGCCAACCCAGAAGUUGCAACACGGAUUCAAAUCAAUUUUAGGAUUCUAAAGUCAAAUCCCCAAAUUUUUUUGUCGAAUGGACUGAGAGCCCGUUCGGUAACGACUUAUUUUAAAAUGACUUAAAGUUGAAAUAUAAGUUGAUUUAUAAGUUAUUUUAAGUUGUGACUUAUAAGUAAAAGCAUUCGGCAUCAAUUUGACUUAUAAGUUAAAAAUUAAGUUAAAACAAGUUAUGAAGGUGUAUGGCUGAUAAUGACUUAUAAGUUAAAAUCAAAUGUAAAGAUUACUAAAAAGAACAUUAAUAAAAAGAUACAUUGAUUCAAUAUCAUAUCAUAACCAUCAUCCACAAUUUCGUUAAAUAAAACACUUAACAAAUUCUCUAAACAUAUCAACUACAAUCUUAUUCCAAGUUAGAGAUUCUUAAUGCAAUAUUAUCUCUUAUUGAAUAUAGAAGCAUAUUGAAUAUUUAACAAGUACUAAGCACCAUGAUCAUAAGUGUACACACAUACAGCAUCAGUAGCACAAAAGAAAGGUGGUCACAUGAAGUUGGACGGAGGCAGUGUAUAAAAGAACAGUGAAAUGGCCAUCAUGAAAAUCCUUAAAGAUGAUAACAGGAUGUAGAGGUGUAUAGUCAAACACAUAUUGUGACAAAGACAUUAUCUAAUCUGUACUGUAUAGGUAAAUUUUCCCAAAACCAUUUCAUGCAAACACUAGUUGCCCAUUAACAUGAAGACAUGCAUAUUCUGUGUAAUUAGCAAGUUUUGUUUAUUAAAGAAAUGAGGUUUACCAGCAGACAGUUAACACAAUGACAUAAAAGAGCAUCAUGUUGUUUAAAACUGGUUGAGUUAAUUUAUGUUUCUUGAUCCAACUGAUCAAUCACUAGUGACAUGGCCACUACACUAGGUUUAUGCUUCUCUUAUUUGAAACUGCAGUUUUAGAUUUUGUAUAAACAUAGGUUAUACGCUAAACUAGGGAAAUCUAUACACGACCCAACUGCACUUAUAUGCUACUCUUAAUCUGGGCUUUGGAACAACUGCUAGAAAUAGAAGGGGACAAAUAUUGACAAUUUCUCAUCGAAGAGAAGUACUUGACAAUAAGAACCAAUUUACAACUAAUAAACAUUGUAUUACAACUCUAUCAACUCAAGUAGAAAAGGCAUGAAUGCGGUGGAUCAAACCCUAAGAGGUUGUAUUCUUUUGCUUAAACAUUCAUACUUAAUGCACCAAGGAAACUGCAUGAAAGGAGAAGCAUGUAAUUGUAGGUUUCCUGAAAACUGAUAACUUAAAAUUCUUUUACAAAGCAUCAUACAUAUAUUUAUCUUAAGAUUAGAAUCUUUGUAUGACACCAUUCUACAAUCAAAUUACUAUUUUUCUUUACAUACAACAUUCACCGAAUACUAUGUAACUAAUGAAUGCAGCAUUUUUACAGAAGACUUGAAGUAGUUCUGUUCAGCUCUGCCAAGUAUACCAUAAAUAAAAUCUGAAGUUCAACUACUAAAAGAAGAAAAAAGUUUAUACAAAAUCUAAAACUACAGUUUCAAAUAAAUUAGGACUACCUAAGUUGCCAACCAAAUUGAAACACUUGUAAUUGAUUGCAAUUAGUCAAAAUAGAAAAUAGAGGAGAGGUGGGCAAUUCAGCCAAAAUGGUACCAGAACAGAUACUCGGUUUUAGUUUGUUUGUUUGUGAUUAGAAUAAUAACUUAAUUACAAGAAAAGAUUACAUAAAAUACACCGGGGGUUAAUUGAAAUCAAAUCCAUAAAGAUUUUGAUUUAAUAUUUUAUCAUAUUCUUCAAUCAGACACACAAGUAUUAACUAGCUCCAUACCAGCUAGAAGGCAGUAUAAGAAAAAUGAACAAGAAUUGCUCAUUGGUACACCAUUUCACUUCUGUCAAAGAGUAACAACUUAUAAACGCUAACCUAAAUAAAAGGUAAAUUUUCCAGCAUUGUUAAGGCAGUCUCUGUGAUGUUUUCAAAUAUGUAAAUUCACAUAACCUUUUAGAUCACAUUAAUUUUUCAUUUUAUACUAACUGCAACUGAGUAAAACUAAAUCGCAUAAAAGUGUUCGGCAUCAACCCAGUAUACAACAAUUCAUUCAAUCAAUCAAUCAAACAUUUUGAACCACAUAAAUUAACAAAAAAUAGAAUUGAAUCGAAACCCUACAGUCAAAAUUAAAGAGGUAAGAAGAAGAAAAUCCACAUGCCAAAGUUUCAAACAUAACAUAAUACACAAAUAUACAUAUCAAAUAUUUGUUCUAGGGUUUGGUACCUAACAGCAAUCCAAGGAGUAGCAGCAAUCAAAAGAGUAGGAGGAGUAGCAGGAGUAAAACUUGCGGAGGGAAGGAGGAGAAGCCAAUAAAUUGAUGGAUCAAGCGUUGAGAGAGAGCAGAGCAGAGCUUCAAUUUUAGCCGUUGUGUAUUGUUAACGUUGGAAAAGCAAGAUCAGGCUUUUUAGGUUGAAAGGGGUAGAGAUGUGUAAUUU